AUUGAACGCUGGCGGCAGGCCUAACACAUGCAAGUCGAACGGUAACAGGAAACAGCUUGCUGUUUCGCUGACGAGUGGCGGACGGGUGAGUAAUGUCUGGGAAACUGCCUGAUGGAGGGGGAUAACUACUGGAAACGGUAGCUAAUACCGAAUAACGUCGCAAGACCAAAGAGGGGGACCCUCGGGCCUCUUGCCAUCGGAUGUGCCCAGAUGGGAUUAGCUUGUUGGUGGGGUAACGGCUCACCAAGGCGACGAUCCCUAGCUGGUCUGAGAGGAUGACCAGCCACACUGGAACUGAGACACGGUCCAGACUCCUACGGGAGGCAGCAGUGGGGAAUAUUGCACAAUGGGCGCAAGCCUGAUGCAGCCAUGCCGCGUGUAUGAAGAAGGCCUUCGGGUUGUAAAGUACUUUCAGCGGGGAGGAAGGGAGUAAAGUUAAUACCUUUGCUCAUUGACGUUACCCGCAGAAGAAGCACCGGCUAACUCCGUG
Molecule: ribosomal RNA, 490 nt
Filed under: uncultured bacterium
Lineage: Bacteria
Description: partial 16S ribosomal RNA
Rfam family: Bacterial small subunit ribosomal RNA
Source: RNAcentral